ACAGUGACUCGCGCCUAUAAUCACAGCACUGUGGGAGGCCAAAGUGGGUGGAUUAUUGGAGGUCAGGAGUUCAAGAACAGCCUGGACAACAUGGUGAAAUCCCAUCUCUAUUAAAAAUACAAAAUCAGCCGGGCAUGGUGGCAUGUACCUGUAAUCCCAGCUACUUGGGAGGCUGAGGCAGGAGAAUCGCUUGAACCUGGGAGGCAGAGGUUGCAGUGAGCCGAGAUUGUGCCACUGCACUCCAGCCUGGGCAACAAGAGUUAGACUCCGUCUCAAUAAAUAAAUAAAUAAAUAAAUAAAUAAAUAAAAUAAUAAAAAAAUUUAAUAAAAUUGGCCACAAGAUGUCCCCACAGCUUUAAAAGAUACUUUUUCCAUCUAGACAGGCCUUUUCAUACUUCAAUGGAUUGUAUGCCCGUAAGAAAUCAGUUAUUAAACAUUCAGAAUAGUAGACAUCUUCAAACUAGACUUCAAGUAAUAGUCCCAAAUGCUAAAUGUAUAUUUCUCCUUUAAAGGUUCAUAUUAAACUAUGGUUUCCCUAAAUUGCAGGGAUUCUUUGAGGCCACCUUGAAUUAUUUUUUAUUUAUUUAUUUAUUUUUUUUGUGUUUUGUUAUAAACAUGUGCUCUGGAGACUGCUGAGUGAGUCUAGACUGCAAUUUUAGAGACUUCCAUCACAUUUACCAAACACAUUGAAAUUGGGGUUA
RNAcentral lists this long non-coding RNA (701 nucleotides) under Pan troglodytes (chimpanzee). RNAcentral describes it as "long non-coding RNA NONPTRT002100". Lineage: Eukaryota; Metazoa; Chordata; Mammalia; Primates; Hominidae. The record is from RNAcentral.